GAAAACUCCCCACUCUAUAGCUAAGGCAGAACUGAGACGUCUUCUCUACUUCACUCCGCUAUGAAAUUGAUAGUUAGUGCUACGUGGGACUGCUUGUUCGUGAGGUGGAUGCUGGCUUACGACCCAGGAAAGGACUAUUCCCACUAACUAGCGAUUCGCCCCUUUAAUAGAAUUGCAUUACCCUGCUUCCUAAAACCGAUGCCUUAGCAAUAAAGUCAUAUUAGAGAAAACUGGCAAAAGGGUUAAGGCUAGACGCACCUCUUCCUGUUUCUGACUGGCUCUCAUGCUGCGAAGAAAGCAAACUUCACUAAUCCUGCUCGCUUACCAGAGAGCUAACCUAUGAGAGAGAUUCUUUGACAACAGACAGACCUAGCAAGGUAAAUACGGCUUAAAGAACGGCGCCUCUAAGAGUCACUUCUGACCUAUCUCUCUCCUUUGGGUUAACUCAGAUCUUUCUCCUUCUUUAAGCUAAACCUCCCAGGCGGCCUUUCUUUGGGAACCCAUGUUGCCUUACCUUGCAGCCCAGGUUACUGCUUACCAGAGAUUGGUUCUCUCGGCGGGUUUCUCAAGUUCCUUUCAGCUGCGGGCUAAGCUAAAUAAUAGGGUCCCGAGGAGAGGUUGAAUGGCUUCCACGAUUGGAUGAGAAGAUCAUACCUAAAUAAGCCAGAAAUUGAUCCGUCGCCGGAAGACGAUCCUACGAUUACUCUUCCAAUCCACCACGUCUGAAAUAAUCUCUAUUCUUUAUAUGACCUGGAAGGAAGAGGUCUACCUCCAUAUAGGCUAUAGGAGAGUGCAGAUGCAUUCCUUCAAUUGACUCGAUUGGUAAACUAAUCCAUGAAUGGUACGAGUACUCAGACUGUCUUACUAGUCAAUGAGUAUAUCCCUAGACUCUGACCAUCUACUAAGACCUCCAAGAACCAUUCUUCUAACCAGGCUCGGCUCCUACUAACUCAUAGGGAAGACCAAUUCACUGACCACCUGACCGAGGGUGAAAGCGUAAUUCAAUUGUUAGGCAUCAAAAGCGAGAUUAAUAUUGGAAUAUUUGAAAAGAGCAAGAAGACGGUCUAUUCCCAAACGUCUGCAAACCAAAGACUGGCCAGGAGCCGAUACUUGACUGAGAGAAAAACGAGUCCAAAUGGUAGCUGUAGCUCGUUCAACUCAUUUGAAAUUCCAAGUGGACUUCGACUAACAAAAAGAACCUAACAAUAGGGGAUGUACUAUCUUACUCUUCUUCAACACGAUAAGAUUCCAUACCAUAGCUCGGGUUAGGGAGGGAGUUUCACUCGCUACCGUUUCACUCCGGCUCCUCUCUGGCUCUGUCAACAAAGUCAGAUCUUUCUUCCCCGGCCUACCUCUCUUAGUCAAAAGUAUCGGAAUUAUUCCCUCUGCUUAACGGAAUUCGGCUCUCUUCUCUUCUGCUACUAUACGAGCGAAUACCAAACGGAGCAAGAAGCAGAGGAAGGUCAGAAGGCGGGCUGGCUUACUAAGUCUAAGGCGGAAAGCUGCCUAAUAACGCAUUAGGGCACUUUGAAAUGCGGUAUAGAGCUUACUCGGGCCGAACGAUGGAGCUGCUCUUGUUGCUAAUGGGUAAAGAUAGGAGUUCUUUUGAGUAUGCUUUCUAAGAUCAAUCAGAGGAGGAAUAGAAUGAAGGUGGUAAGGGCGGGAAGGAGUUUCCUUACUAAUAAAAGCAUAAUGAGUUAAUCGAUCAGCAACCUCAAUGUGGAUUCGCCUACUCAUUACGGAACCCUCGAUUGCUCUGAUUAGACUUCCCGAGUGCUUAUUGUUCCUGAGUCUUUCUUUUCUUUUCCAGCGGGGUAGCACAGGGAAUGAAUGAACUCCUUGGAAUCUCAGGCCUGGAUAAUCGUAUAAUCCGGGUCGAUCCUAUGGUAACCUCAAGGUAGGAAUACCAGUGNNNNNN
RNAcentral lists this long non-coding RNA (1918 nucleotides) under Musa acuminata (dwarf banana). RNAcentral describes it as "long non-coding RNA (MACU_LNC007407)". The record is from RNAcentral. Lineage: Eukaryota; Viridiplantae; Streptophyta; Magnoliopsida; Zingiberales; Musaceae.